AGGAUGAACGCUGGCGGCGUGCCUAAUGCAUGCAAGUCGCACGGCUCCCCUUCGGGGGUGGCAGUGGCGGACGGCUGAGGAACACGUGGGUAUCUGCCGUGCGGUGGGGGACAACAGUCCGAAAGGGGUGCUAAUCCCGCAUACGUCCCGCUGCGAAGCGGGGGAAAGCGCGCAAGGGCGCCGCACGAGGAGCCUGCGGCCCAUCAGGUAGUUGGCGGGGUAACGGCCCCCCAAGCCGAUGACGGGUCCCUGGUCUGAGAGGACGACCAGGCAGACUGGGACUGAGACACGGCCCAGACUCCUACGGGAGGCAGCAGCAAGGAAUUUUCCCAAUGGGCGACAAGCCUGAGGAAGCAACGCCGCGUGGAGGACGACGGCCGUUCGGUUAGUAAACGUUCCGUUUGGGGGGACGAUAGAUCGACGGUACCC
This 429-nucleotide ribosomal RNA is filed under the name uncultured soil bacterium. Its description in RNAcentral is "bacterial SSU rRNA". It matches the Rfam family "Bacterial small subunit ribosomal RNA", at positions 26 to 480 of the family's 1533-position model. The record is from RNAcentral.